RNAcentral lists this ribosomal RNA (404 nucleotides) under uncultured bacterium. RNAcentral describes it as "bacterial SSU rRNA". It matches the Rfam family "Bacterial small subunit ribosomal RNA", at positions 355 to 776 of the family's 1533-position model. The record is from RNAcentral.
UGGGGAAUAUUGGACAAUGGGCGAAAGCCUGAUCCAGCCAUGCCGCGUGAAUGAUGAAGGCCUUAGGGUUGUAAAGUUCUUUUGUCAGGGAAGAUGAUGACGGUACCUGAAGAAUAAGCACCGGCUAACUUCGUGCCAGCAGUCGCGGUAAUACGAAGGGUGCUAGCGUUGUUCGGAAUCACUGGGCGUAAAGCGCGCGUAGGCGGCUUAGCAAGUCAGAGGUGAAAUCCCACAGCUCAACUGUGGAACUGCCUUUGAAACUGCUAAGCUAGAGUGUCGGAGGGGAUGGCGGAAUUCCUAAUGUAGAGGUGAAAUUCGUAGAUAUUAGGAGGAACACCGGUGGCGAAGGCGGCCAUCUGGACGACAACUGACGCUGAGGCGCGAAAGCGUGGGGAUCAAACAGG